RNAcentral lists this ribosomal RNA (430 nucleotides) under uncultured bacterium. Its description in RNAcentral is "bacterial SSU rRNA". It matches the Rfam family "Bacterial small subunit ribosomal RNA", at positions 192 to 603 of the family's 1533-position model. The record is from RNAcentral.
CCCUGAGGGGGAAAGUGGGGGACCGCAAGGCCUCACGCGAAUGGAGCGGCCGAUGUCAGAUUAGCUAGUUGGUGGGGUAAAGGCUCACCAAGGCGACGAUCUGUAGCGGGUCUGAGAGGAUGAUCCGCCACACUGGGACUGAGACACGGCCCAGACUCCUACGGGAGGCAGCAGUGGGGAAUUUUGGACAAUGGGCGCAAGCCUGAUCCAGCCAUGCCGCGUGCGGGACGAAGGCCUUCGGGUUGUAAACCGCUUUCAGCCGGAAAGAAAUCGCUGUUUUUAAUACGGACAGUGGAUGACGGUACCGGAAGAAGAAGCACCGGCUAACUACGUGCCAGCAGCCGCGGUAAUACGUAGGGUGCGAGCGUUAAUCGGAAUUACUGGGCGUAAAGCGUGCGCAGGCGGUUUUGUAAGCCAGACGUGAAAUCCC